GAUGAACGCUGGCGGCGUGCUUAACACAUGCAAGUCGAACGGAAAGGCCCAAGCUUGCUUGGGUACUCGAGUGGCGAACGGGUGAGUAACACGUGGGUGAUCUGCCCUGCACUUCGGGAUAAGCCUGGGAAACUGGGUCUAAUACCGGAUAGGACGAUGGUUUGGAUACCAUUGUGGAAAGUUUUUUCGGUGUGGGAUGAGCUCGCGGCCUAUCAGCUUGUUGGUGGGGUAAUGGCCUACCAAGGCGUCGACGGGUAGCCGGCCUGAGAGGGUGGACGGCCACAUUGGGACUGAGAUACGGCCCAGACUCCUACGGGAGGCAGCAGUGGGGAAUAUUGCACAAUGGGCGCAAGCCUGAUGCAGCGACGCCGCGUGGGGGAUGACGGCCUUCGGGUUGUAAACUCCUUUCGCUAGGGACGAAGCGUUUUUGUGACGGUACCUGGAGAAGAAGCACCGGCUAACUACGUG
Molecule: ribosomal RNA, 468 nt
Filed under: uncultured bacterium
Lineage: Bacteria
Description: partial 16S ribosomal RNA
Rfam family: Bacterial small subunit ribosomal RNA
Source: RNAcentral